UACAGAGGGUGCAAGCGUUAAUCGGAUUUACUGGGCGUAAAGGGCGCGUAGGUUGUUAUUUAAGUGAGAUGUGAAAUCCCCGGGCCUAACCUGGGAACUGCAUCUUAUACUGGGUAACUGGAGUGCAAUAGAGGGUAGUGGAAUUUCCGGUGUAGCGGUGAAAUGCGUAGAUAUCCGGAGGAACACCGGUGGCGAAGGCGGCUUCCUGGACCGACACUGACACUGAGGAGCGAAAGCCAGGGGAGCAAACGGG
This 253-nucleotide ribosomal RNA is filed under the name uncultured bacterium. Its description in RNAcentral is "partial 16S ribosomal RNA". It matches the Rfam family "Bacterial small subunit ribosomal RNA", at positions 524 to 776 of the family's 1533-position model. The record is from RNAcentral.